AACAGUUUAAAGCAGUAGGAUGUGAACUCAGAAAAAGAUAAUAAAUAAAAAAUGGCGAAAGGCUAUAAAUAGGACAGACUGCUAAGAACUGUGUCUCUGAGGGAAAUCAGUUUCUUUAAACCCUAAGUCAUUUUCGCAAUGUCAGAUAAAAAGCAUAAUUACAACAUCUCAGGGAUACUAUUGUGAAAUUUGGCUUUCUGAUCUUGUUCCAGAAAGCAAACAUUUCUAGAGAAGGGAGCAAAGAUUUUUGUCAAUCUUGUAUUAAACACUCACGUCUGCUCAUGUAUUUUGUAAGGUGCUGUGGUUUUAUAACACUUGGACUUGAGAGGCGCAAAGUACAAAACUCUAAAAACAAAUCAAGCAAAUGAGAAAAGGCAAGUAUUUAUACCACAGAACUAUACUAAUCAUAAAUACUCCAGCCUGUGGGUCCAAAGCUCUAAACACACAGAGAGUUGACUCCUUGAAUGAUAAAAUUCUGCUACCCUGAAAGUCUAAUCUGGUGAUUUUUUUAUUGCAACCCAUGCCUUUUUCCAAACCAUUGAUAGACAGGGGCUUUUCACACUGACACCUAAUCUGGCUCCAUGAGACUGUGCAACACGGUGGGGUGUUGGACCAAAUGCGAAGAUGCUGAGGAAGAACAUUUGAAAUGUGAGUGCAAGUUUUAAAAAAGGAACCAGUGAUAAAACCAAGAUAAACAACCAAAGAGAAACAUGAAUCUCUCUCGUGCUGUGGAUAUGUAAGACAUUACUAUUGGAAGAGGCUGGAUGAAGAGCACAAGGGGUCUCUCUGUACUAUUUUUGCCACUUUCUAUGAGACUGCUAUUUCAAAACAAAAAUUUUUUGAAGUAUGGAUGUCACCUGGGACCCAGUCCUGAUGCUCAGAACUGGACAAGAGGCAGAGGAGCACAUAAAGGCUGGAAGUUGUGGGGCCUGCCACUUUUGACCACGAGGACAAGGUGGUAGACUAACAAAACGGAAGAGACCUGAGUUUCUUGGAGCUGACACCUUGGAGCUGCCGUACCUCUUUCAGAUUGCCUACUCAAUUAGGUGAGAAAAAAAUCGUCUCUCUUGUUUCAGCCUCUGUAGUUUCACACUCUAACAUAGAUUUACCAAUACUUUUGAAGCUAUCCGUGUGCCCCCCACAAUACCAUCUUUCUUCCUCUCCACCAGGAGUAACCACUCUCCAGAACUGUGUUUAUCAUUAUUUUUCUUUCCUUUCUAGCUUUGCCACAAUUGUACGUAUUCUGAAACACACAAUCUUGCUUAUCUUUGAACUUUACAUAAAUAAACAAAAUCAUACCGUGUGCGUUGUUCUGUAA
RNAcentral lists this long non-coding RNA (1318 nucleotides) under Sus scrofa (pig). RNAcentral's name for it is "lncRNA (ENSSSCG00070005918.1)". The record is from RNAcentral. Lineage: Eukaryota; Metazoa; Chordata; Mammalia; Artiodactyla; Suidae.